RNAcentral lists this long non-coding RNA (627 nucleotides) under Gallus gallus (chicken). The record is from RNAcentral. Lineage: Eukaryota; Metazoa; Chordata; Aves; Galliformes; Phasianidae.
UGAUAAGCUUCUGUUUUAAAUUGCUUAAGUUCCUCAGUUUGUUGCUUCACUGUCUCCAGAUCCGUUCCAACGGGGGACAUAGAUGCUAGCUUGAUGCCAGCAAUGUCUACCCAGUCAAAUAUUGCCUGCAGUCCAUCUUGGUAUUGAACAGCUGCCUGCAUAGCUUCGGCAAGCUUAUCCACUCGCUCUUUCCAUGUUUUGUUUAAGGCAUCCCAGGCAGAGUUCAGCUCAUCUAUACUCUUGUUGACAAUAGGUUUGUCAGGCUCUCCACAGGCAGCUCUAAGUUCAGAGCCUAGGCUUACAACGCUCUCUAGUUCUUCUUGCAGUCCAUCAAUUUCUUCUUUAGCAGCCUCAGCAGCUUCUUGCUGUUGCUUGACUACAGAUGGGUCAACUCCAGGUCCCUCCAGUUCUCGAAUGAAGUCCUGAGUAUCUUUAAUAGUAGCUACGAGAGCCAUAUGAUCACACCAGAACUUUUCAGCUAGUUCCAUAACAUCCAACAAUUUGGCCUCCCUUUCCUCAGUCAAGGUCUGGAUGUCUUGCCAAAUAAGGACCAUUUGGUCUAGUUUAUCUUGCACAACUUUAGCAGAUACAUCCUUAUCUGCUCCUUCUGAGCGAGCGAUCAUUUCU